AUACGGAGGACGCGAGCGUUAUCCGGAUUCAUUGGGUUUAAAGGGUGCGCAGGCGGCCGUGCAAGUCAGCGGUGAAAGCCCGGGGCUCAACCCCGGAAGUGCCGUUGAUACUGCAUGGCUGGAAUGCGGUCGAGGCGGGCGGGACGGGGCGGGUAGCGGUUAAAUGCGUAGAUAUGCCACAGAACGCCGAUGGCGGAGGCGGCUCGCCAGGCCUGCAUGGACGCUCGGGCACGAAAGCGUGGGGAUCGAACAGGAUUAGAUACCCUGGUAGUCCACGCCGUAAACGAUGGGCGCUCGUCGUCGGCGGCAGACAGUCGGCGGCCAAGCGAAAGCGAUAAGCGCCCCACCUGGGGAGUACGGUCGCAAGGCUGAAACUAUGACUGGCU
RNAcentral lists this ribosomal RNA (386 nucleotides) under uncultured bacterium. Its description in RNAcentral is "partial 16S ribosomal RNA". It matches the Rfam family "Bacterial small subunit ribosomal RNA", at positions 523 to 915 of the family's 1533-position model. The record is from RNAcentral.